GAGUUUGAUCAUGGCUCAGAACGUACGCUGGCGGCACGCCUAACACAUGCAAGUCGAACGAAGUAGCAAUACUUAGUGGCAGACGGGUGAGUAACAUGUAGGUAUCUGCCCCUUGGCCUGGAAUAACACGAGGAAACUUGUGCUAAUACCGGAUAAGUCUUUACGGAGAAAGCUUUAUGCACCAUUGGAUGAGCCUGCACUUGAUUAGUUUGUUGGUGGGGUAAUGGCCUACCAAGACUGUGAUCAAUAGCUGAUUUGAGAGGAUGAUCAGCCACAUUGGGACUGAGACACGGCCCAAACUCCUACGGGAGGCAGCAGUGGGGAAUCUUGCACAAUGGAGGAAACUCUGAUGCAGCGAUGCCGCGUGAGUGAAGAAGGCCCUUGGGUUGUAAAGCUCUUUCGUCGGGGAAGAAAAUGACUGUACCCGAAUAAGAAGGUCCGGCUAACUUCGUGCCAGCAGCCGCGGUAAUACGAAGGGACCUAGCGUAGUUCGGAAUUACUGGGCUUAAAGAGUUCGUAGGUGGUUGAAAAAGUUGGUGGUGAAAUCCCAGAGCUUAACUCUGGAACUGCCAUCAAAACUUUUCAGCUAGAGUAUGAUAGAGGAAAGCAGAAUUUCUAGUGUAGAGGUGAAAUUCGUAGAUAUUAGAAAGAAUACCAAUUGCGAAGGCAGCUUUCUGGAUCAUUACUGACACUGAGGAACGAAAGCAUGGGUAGCGAAGAGGAUUAGAUACCCUCGUAGUCCAUGCCGUAAACGAUGUGUGUUAGACGUUGGAAAUUUAUUUUCAGUGUCGCAGCGAAAGCGAUAAACACACCGCCUGGGGAGUACGACCGCAAGGUUAAAACUCAAAUGAAUUGACGGGGACCCGCACAAGUAGUGGAGCAUGUGGUUUAAUUCGAAGAUACGCGCAGAACCUUACCAACACUUGACAUGUUCGUCGCGACUUUAAGAGAUUAAAGUUUUCGGUUCGGCCGGACGAAACACAGGUGCUGCAUGGCUGUCGUCAGCUCGUGUCGUGAGAUGUUGGGUUAAGUCCCGCAACGAGCGCAACCCUCACUUUCAGUUGCCAUCAUUAAGUUGGGCACUCUGAAAGAACUGCCAGUGAUAAGCUGGAGGAAGGUGGGGAUGACGUCAAGUCCUCAUGGCCCUUACGUGUUGGGCUACACACGUGCUACAAUGGUAUCUACAACAGGAAGCAAAACUGCGAAGUUAAGCAAAUCCCUAAAAGAUACCUCAGUUCGGAUUGCACUCUGCAACUCGAGUGCAUGAAGCUGGAAUUACUAGUAAUCGUGGAUCAGCGUGCCACGGUGAAUGCGUUCCCGGGUCUUGUACACACCGCCCGUCACACCAUGGGAGUUGGUUCUACCUUAAGGCAAGGUUUUAAACCCUUGACCACGGUAUAGUCAGCGACUGGGGUGAAGUCGUAACAAGGUAACC
RNAcentral lists this ribosomal RNA (1435 nucleotides) under uncultured marine bacterium. Its description in RNAcentral is "bacterial SSU rRNA". It matches the Rfam family "Bacterial small subunit ribosomal RNA". The record is from RNAcentral.